RNAcentral lists this transfer-messenger RNA (367 nucleotides) under Lacticaseibacillus nasuensis. RNAcentral's name for it is "Standard tmRNA". It matches the Rfam family "transfer-messenger RNA". From Rfam's summary of the family: Bacterial tmRNA, also known as 10Sa RNA or SsrA, is named for its dual tRNA and mRNA-like properties. Its role is to liberate the mRNA from a stalled ribosome. Lineage: Bacteria; Bacillati; Bacillota; Bacilli; Lactobacillales; Lactobacillaceae. The record is from RNAcentral. RNAcentral also lists the same sequence under 1 other name.
GGGGGUGUAAUGGUCUCGACAUUGGUCUUAGCCCUUGUGGUGCACGCCGGAGUCCGGCUCCGUCAUCAACGGAACACAGUUUAUUUAACUGCAAAAAACAACGAACCAUCUUACGCACUCGCCGCUUAAUUACGGCCUAGCGUGAUCUUGCCACUUUUGCUCAAGGGGUGUGUCAAGGUCUAAAAGCAUUGAGCUACGGGCAACGUUGCCACCUGAGGCGCUGUCAAGAGAUUUUAGGUUAGCCAAGUGGCGUUAGCCCUGCCGUCCGGCGCGGCCGCUUGGUGAACUUCAAAUGGGACGACUAAGCGUGUAGAGCUGCAAGGAGCGGGGCUGAUGGACAGGAGUUCGAUUCUCCUCACCUCCAUAA